GAUGAAGAAUGUAGCGAAAUGCGAUAAGUAAUGUGAAUUGCAGAAUUCAGUGAAUCAUCGAAUCUUUGAACGCACAUUGCGCCCAUUAGUAUUCUAGUGGGCAUGCCUGUUCGAGCGUCAUUAAGUCCACUUAAGCCUAGCUUAGUGUUGGGAGACUGCUCCAGUGGUGCUACCCUGUAGCUACCCUGCAGCUCCUUAAAGACAGCGGCGGAGUCGUGUUAUCCUCUGAGCUUAGUAAAUCAUUCUAGCUUUCGAGAGUAUCACUUCACCUGCCGUUAAACCACCUAAUUUUUAUGGUUGACCUCGGAUCAGGUAGGAAUACCCGCUGAACUUAAGCAUAUCAAUAAGCGGAGGA
Molecule: unclassified non-coding RNA, 355 nt
Filed under: soil metagenome
Description: partial contains 5.8S ribosomal RNA, internal transcribed spacer 2, and large subunit ribosomal RNA
Rfam family: 5.8S ribosomal RNA (bases 1-120)
Source: RNAcentral